AGCAGCAUGGCUUAGUGGAAAGAACACAGGCCUGGGAGUCUGAGGAUCUGGGUUCUAUUCCCAGCUCUGCCA
Molecule: transfer RNA, 72 nt
Filed under: Ornithorhynchus anatinus (platypus)
Lineage: Eukaryota; Metazoa; Chordata; Mammalia; Monotremata; Ornithorhynchidae
Rfam family: tRNA
About the family: Transfer RNA (tRNA) molecules are approximately 80 nucleotides in length. Their secondary structure includes four short double-helical elements and three loops (D, anti-codon, and T loops). Further hydrogen bonds mediate the characteristic L-shaped molecular structure. tRNAs have two regions of fundamental functional importance: the anti-codon, which is responsible for specific mRNA codon recognition, and the 3' end, to which the tRNAs corresponding amino acid is attached (by aminoacyl-tRNA synthetases). tRNAs cope with the degeneracy of the genetic code in two manners: having more than one tRNA (with a specific anti-codon) for a particular amino acid; and 'wobble' base-pairing, i.e. permitting non-standard base-pairing at the 3rd anti-codon position.
Source: Rfam by way of RNAcentral